GACCUGACGUCACGAAAAGACCCGAAGUUGAAGUCCUGAAGCCUCGAAAGGACCCAAAGCCAGGUUCUAUACAUUUACGCUCGAUUGAGGAUCCGGCUCACAGAUGGUUACAUGCCUCUUGCAGAGUUCGGCUAGUGUGUGGCAGUAUCCGGUGAAAUAAGAAACGAAUAUGCAAAUAAGAAGCAGAAGAAAAGAGAAGGAUAUAGCAGAAGGGAUAGAAGAGAGA
This is a long non-coding RNA of Xenopus laevis (African clawed frog), 226 nucleotides long. RefSeq lists it as uncharacterized. The transcript has 3 exons. The record is from RefSeq and is a predicted model, not a curated record. NCBI's taxonomy places the organism in Eukaryota, Metazoa, Chordata, Amphibia, Anura, Pipidae.